AAACAUGGUAAGCGGUCGCUUCUUUUGAAGAGGAAAGUCCGAGCUGCAAUAAGACAAAGAUUCCAUCUAACGGAUGGCUAGGGUAACCUAAGGGAAAGUGCAACAGAAAGAAAACUACCAUAUAGUAUAUGGAAAAGGUGAAACGGUAGGGUAAGAGCCUACCAGUGGUUUUGGUAACAAAACUAGCUAUGUAAACCCAAUCUGCAGUAAGAAGGGAUGGUUUUGGUUCUUAUAAUAUAACCCUUCGCUUGAACUUGUUUGCAAAAACAAGUCUAGAUAAAUGAUCGCUCUUGACAGAACUCGGCUUAUCGCCAUGU
Molecule: RNase P RNA, 317 nt
Filed under: Campylobacter ornithocola
Lineage: Bacteria; Pseudomonadati; Campylobacterota; Epsilonproteobacteria; Campylobacterales; Campylobacteraceae
Description: ribonuclease P, RNA component
Rfam family: Bacterial RNase P class A
About the family: Ribonuclease P (RNase P) is a ubiquitous endoribonuclease, found in archaea, bacteria and eukarya as well as chloroplasts and mitochondria. Its best characterised activity is the generation of mature 5'-ends of tRNAs by cleaving the 5'-leader elements of precursor-tRNAs.
Source: RNAcentral